Molecule: long non-coding RNA, 814 nt
Organism: Leptinotarsa decemlineata (Colorado potato beetle)
Lineage: Eukaryota; Metazoa; Arthropoda; Insecta; Coleoptera; Chrysomelidae
Source: RefSeq, a predicted model, not a curated record
CUGAUUGAAAGUUAGAGGUCGACAUCCGAUUGUUCAUUUUCUGAUGACAGAUAAAAAUACUCAAUCACCACCAGCGCAAAUAGACGAUCCAAGGCUUGAAAAUACAUAAAUACAACGGUGAAAAUAUAUACAGAUAUAUCAAUGCAUGAUAACUAAAGUGGUUAUACUCUUCAGUAACAGGAACCCUACUAGUAGUGUAAUCUGCAGAAGACAGCAUUUAUGAAAGUUUUGUGUGCUCUACAUGAUAGAGUACAAUUAUAUGACAUCUUGAAGAGAUUGGUGGAGCAUUAUUACGGUCCACAUAUGAAAAACAUGAACACCUGGUUAUCUAAAUGAUGUGAAUCUAUCAUUUGAAUAAAAAAUAUUAGUAUAACUCGCUUCAGUUCAUAAUUAGGUAGUGUAAGUUGAAUAUGGUUCAAGUUGACCAAGUGAAACAUGAGCUACACCUUGAAAGAAAUAGCAUUUGAUAAGGAUGGAAUAAUGCAUGGCAAAAGAAAAUGCUAUAGGAGCUCGAAUAGUAGUGGUUUUCAAAAUAGUAAUAUCAUCAACACGAAUAAACUACCUUUCGAACCCCGAAGAUAAAUGUAAUUAUAUUUGAAACGUCGGCAAAAACAACAAUUGUUAUUUUAAGAAAAAAUUGAUACUGUUACGCAACCUCUCUUCAUAAGAGUUACAAUUUUUUGAUGUGUUAGUGCUUAAAAGUGAUCAGGAUCUUGAAAUUGAUAUCUAUAGAAAUGAUACUACUUUCUCUUCCAUAGACACGUUACGUUUUUUUUGGGCGAAAAAAUAUAUGACUCCACUGGAUUUUUAUGAA